CCCUUAGAUGUUCUGGGCUGCACGCGCGCUACACUGACGCACGCAACAGGUGCCUGCUCCGAGAGGACUGGGUAAUCAUUUGAGUGUGCGUCGUGAUGGGGAUAGAAUAUUGUAAUUAUUACUCUUCAACGAGGAAUUCCUAGUAAGCGCCAGUCAGCAGCUUGCGCUGAUUACGUCCCUGCCCUUUGUACACACCGCCCGUCGCUCCUACCGAUGGGUGAUCCGGUGAAUGAUUCGGACUUCAGCGGCUCCCCUGGGGUGCGCCGGAGAAAGUUUUGUGAACCUUAUCUCUUGGAGGAAGGAGAAGUCGUAACA
RNAcentral lists this ribosomal RNA (315 nucleotides) under uncultured eukaryote. Its description in RNAcentral is "partial 18S ribosomal RNA". It matches the Rfam family "Eukaryotic small subunit ribosomal RNA", at positions 1470 to 1796 of the family's 1831-position model. The record is from RNAcentral.